GUCACUUAUAGAUGGAUCCGCGCUGCAUUAGCUAGUUGGUAAGGUAACGGCUUACCAAGGCAACGAUGCAUAGCCGACCUGAGAGGGUGAUCGGCCACACUGGAACUGAGACACGGUCCAGACUCCUACGGGAGGCAGCAGUAGGGAAUCUUCCGCAAUGGGCGAAAGCCUGACGGAGCAACGCCGCGUGAGUGAUGAAGGUCUUCGGAUCGUAAAACUCUGUUAUUAGGGAAGAACAUAUGUGUAAGUAACUGUGCACAUCUUGACGGUACCUAAUCAGAAAGCCACGGCUAACUACGUGCCAGCAGCCGCGGUAAUACGUAGGUGGCAAGCGUUAUCCGGAAUUAUUGGGCGUAAAGCGCGCGUAGGCGGUUUUUUAAGUCUGAUGUGAAAGCCCACGGCUCAACCGUGGAGGGUCAUUGGAAACUGGAAAACUUGAGUGCAGAAGAGGAAAGUGGAAUUCCAUGUGUAGCGGUGAAAUGCGCAGAGAUAUGGAGGAACACCAGUGGCGAAGGCGACUUUCUGGUCUGUAACUGACGCUGAUGUGCGAAAGCGUGGGGAUCAAACAGGAUUAGAUACCCUGGUAGUCCACGCCGUAAACGAUGAGUGCUAAGUGUUAGGGGGUUUCCGCCCCUUAGUGCUGCAGCUAACGCAUUAAGCACUCCGCCUGGGGAGUACGACCGCAAGGUUGAAACUCAAAGGAAUUGACGGGGACCCGCACAAGCGGUGGAGCAUGUGGUUUAAUUCGAAGCAACGCGAAGAACCUUACCAAAUCUUGACAUCCUUUGACAACUCUAGAGAUAGAGCCUUCCCCUUCGGGGGACAAAGUGACAGGUGGUGCAUGGUUGUCGUCAGCUCGUGUCGUGAGAUGUUGGGUUAAGUCCCGCAACGAGCGCAACCCUUAAGCUUAGUUGCCAUCAUUAAGUUGGGCACUCUAAGUUGACUGCCGGUGACAAACCGGAGGAAGGUGGGGAUGACGUCAAAUCAUCAUGCCCCUUAUGAUUUGGGCUACACACGUGCUACAAUGGACAAUACAAAGGGCAGCGAAACCGCGAGGUCAAGCAAAUCCCAUAAAGUUGUUCUCAGUUCGGAUUGUAGUCUGCAACUCGACUACAUGAAGCUGGAAUCGCUAGUAAUCGUAGAUCAGCAUGCUACGGUGAAUACGUUCCCGGGUCUUGUACACACCGCCCGUCACACCACGAGAGUUUGUAACACCCGAAGCCGGUGGAGUAACCUUUUAGGAGCUAGCCGUCGAAGGUGGGACAAAUGAUUGGGGUGAAGUCGUAACAAGGUAGCCGUAUCGGAAGGUGCGGCUGGAUCACCUCCUUU
Molecule: ribosomal RNA, 1329 nt
Filed under: Staphylococcus aureus
Lineage: Bacteria; Bacillati; Bacillota; Bacilli; Caryophanales; Staphylococcaceae
Description: bacterial SSU rRNA
Rfam family: Bacterial small subunit ribosomal RNA
Source: RNAcentral